This 626-nucleotide ribosomal RNA is filed under the name uncultured Russulaceae. RNAcentral's name for it is "LSU rRNA". It matches the Rfam family "Eukaryotic large subunit ribosomal RNA", at positions 47 to 649 of the family's 3401-position model. Lineage: Eukaryota; Fungi; Basidiomycota; Agaricomycetes; Russulales; Russulaceae. The record is from RNAcentral.
UAAGCGGAGGAAAAGAAACUAACAAGGAUUCCCCUAGUAACUGCGAGUGAAGCGGGAAAAGCUCAAAUUUAAAAUCUGGUGGUCUUUGCCAUUCGAGUUGUAAUUUAGAGAAGCGUCUUCCGCGCUGGACCGUGCACAAGUCUCCUGGAAUGGAGCGUCAUAGAGGGUGAGAAUCCCGUCUUUGGCACGGACACACCAGGGCUUUUGUGAUGCGCUCUCGAAGAGUCGAGUUGUUUGGGAAUGCAGCUCAAAAUGGGUGGUGAACUCCAUCUAAAGCUAAAUAUUGGCGAGAGACCGAUAGCGAACAAGUACCGUGAGGGAAAGAUGAAAAGCACUUUGGAAAGAGAGUGAAACAGUACGUGAAAUUGUUGAAAGGGAAACGCUUGAAGUCAGUCACGUCGACCGAGACUCAGCCUUGCCUUGGCUUGGUGUACUUCUCGGCUGACGGGUCAGCAUCAAUUUUGCCCCUUGGAUAAUGGCGAGGGAAAUGUGACACCUUUACGGUGUGUUAUAGUCUCUCGUCGCAUGCAAGGGUUGGGAUUGAGGAACUCAGCACGCGCCUUUGGGUGUCGGGGCUUUGCCCACGAUACGUGCUUAGGAUGUUGGCAUAAUGGCUUUAAACGACC